Molecule: long non-coding RNA, 2798 nt
Organism: Phasianus colchicus (ring-necked pheasant)
Lineage: Eukaryota; Metazoa; Chordata; Aves; Galliformes; Phasianidae
Source: Ensembl
GUUUUUACUUUUUAGUGAAAACUUCUUUCUUCCUUUCUUCCUUCUUUUCUUUUUUUCUUUUCUUCCUUUUCUUCUUUUUCUUUUUUUCUCUUUCACUGUCUCUCUCUCUCUUUUUUUUUUUUCCCAAGAAAGAAAAGGAAUGUCCUCCAGUUAACUGUUUUGCAUACAGAAGCAAGCAAUCAAGUUUUUCAGACAGAAGAGCAGAUCGAGCCCUAGAGCACAGUGGUUAAAAUCACACCAUAGUUCAUCUCUGGCACAUUUGGGUGUAGUUUUCCAGGUGGCAACGUCUGUGCUAACAUCACCCCUUAAUAUCUGUUGGAUGAAAACAUCUCUGGUGCUAAAGGACCUUGAAGAGUGAAAGCAUGCACUGAAGAGUGUUUGCUGUAGUUUUAGAUGAGCUUCCCAUGCUCACACUCAAUGCACCACUGAUUCUUUUCAUCCUCUGCCAAGGUCAGGACAACAGCAGAUCCCCAUUCCGUGCUUCCCUGCCCCAGUUUUGGGAGGCUGAGGGGUCCCGCUGAGCUGUCCCACACGGCAAGGCCCUGAGGGGCUGCACUGCUACAGGGUUGGGCUAUCCUGCAUUGCAGCUGCAGCUUCUGAAGGGACAUGAGUGGGGAAAGAUGUGCACUGCCAGGGCCCAGCAUAAUUCCUUCUCACACACCUGAAUGGAGCAGAGGAAUUGUAUGCCAUGAGUGCCUGUUUCCAUCAAUAAAGUACUCAGACUAAAUGCAAGGAGCAGAACAUUCUUGCUGCAAUGCUGCCUCCAAGUCACCCCAACACAUGCCAAGCAAUUAUCACAUCCCAUUUCUGGAGGUUCCAGAGGCUUUCAGAAUUAUCCAGACUUCUGCUCCAGUUCUUGUGUCACCUGCUGAAAGAAAACGAUCAGACUGUCUGUGCAUUGAGCAGCCACUUCUUUGAAGCAGUUACCAGCACAGCUUCUGACUCCAGCACUCUGCCAGCACACGCUCAACCAGCCUGCAGACAUCAGUAGCUGGCUUUCCCCCACUCUGAGGCUUCACGUUAAAUUGCUGUUGAGACUCCAUGACAUAAAUUAAGAACAGAAAAACCAGUUUUAAGCUUACAGCUCUGAAGAAAUCACCAAACGAGUUCUAUUUUGGCAGCCUGCUGCUCACAACUCAGAAAAUACGACAGCAAAGCAAAUCACAUGUCCAGUGUGUGUUUUAUAACCCUGCUCAAACUAAGCCAUCUUGUAGGCACAUGCCUGACUAUUUUUAGUGGCUGUGCUCCCACAAAUAUGGCAAAGUCCUUUAGCAUUGGCUACUCACUAGGGGCUACUUGAAAAGUAGCAAAAGAUGUCAGUUGCUGGAAUUUUGACUGAAAAUAAUAAUACCUGGAUUUCAGAUUAGCUGCACAGAUUUGCCAAAGUGCAAAUGAAGUCAGCCCUGGCAAUGUGACGAUUCACUGAUUGCUGCCUUCAGCCAUGAAAGUACAGGAUCUGACUGUGUUUUAUUUUCAUCACCAUUUGUACAGCAUUACUUUACAGGUAUACUGUUGCUUGUGGGAAUGUUGGUUUUCUAGGGUGUCCAUCUGGGAAUCAAGUGUUUCUCCUCCAGCUCCAAGCAGGCACUGUGGCAUAUCCAGAGGACCCAUAACUGACAUGGCCCAUUAGUCAUAGAAACAUCCCACUAAAAUUAGCGGCAGCUUUUCAUCUUUAUGGGCCUCAUGCCUUGGUCCAUAUGUAGAACAUACAAAAUGGAUUUUUCUUUUCUUGGCAUGUAACCCUGUCUUUCCGGUACUUUGGUUCCAGACCUUCAUGAGCAAUGCAGGUGGCUUUUGUUGCUCCACAGCUCAUAUUCUUGACAGUUACUGCAUCUACACAAUACUUCUGGAUUCAGCCAGGCUGGAACAUUCUCACAAACAGUUACUUAAGAUUACCAGCAUUAGCACAUAAAUAUAAUAGUAAUUAAUAAUACUUUGGCUUCUUGAAGAUCCCCUGUGCUGCUUUGUUGGCUUUGUUUCAACAGCACCUAAAAAGCCUGCAGCGAGGGCUCCCCCCAUUCCCAUCUUGUUUUUAAAAUCUGUUUCUAAGGUGUGCAACAAAGCUACUGUGAUUUUCACUCUCAGAGCCCAAGUUUUCCACUUUUGGAAAGUGAGACUGUAUCUGUUUAUUCAUUUGUUGGGUCCCAGCUGGAGACAGUUCAGACUUGAUUUUUGGAGGUGUUGGCCACUUAACAAUUCCCACACGAGCCAAAGGGAGCUGUGAUUGUGCAGCGCUGUGCUGAAUGUGGCUUCUGUUGUUUGAAAAGAGCAUGCUGUACAAGAAGCCAUUUUGAUGGUGUUUACCCCAUCUUUAAUUCUGAGUCUAAAUUUAUAACAAACAGUGGCCUGAAUUAUUUCUGUGUCAUUCACUGCCUUUGUGAAAUUUUUUAAAGGAUCCAAACAGAUGCUUUAUAUCAUGAAUAUAUAUCAAAAAGAAAAGUCAAGAGUUCUCACCCAUGCCAUCCUAUCUGAGUUUCGUGUUUGCUGCUUCAGCAUACAGGUUGAACACUAAAUAAGGCUCUCCCUUCUUCAUGAAAUGGUUACUCUUCAAGCCAGGGUCAGGUGGUGGUAAGACUUUUGCAAUGCCAUUGCUCUACCUGGCUUAUGAACUCAGGAUUUUAUUUUACAGUGUAAUCAAUAUUCAAGCCUUCCAAUAUAUUUUAUCUACUCAGAAAAGACAACAAUGUACCUAACUGCCCUAGCUAAAAUCUCAAAGCCAUAUUUUCCAUUUGGCAAAGACAAAAAUAGAAUGGAGCUGCUUGAAUAAAACUCAAAUCAGUAUUUGGAUCUAACUAAUA